RNAcentral lists this transfer RNA (58 nucleotides) under Cricetulus griseus (Chinese hamster). It matches the Rfam family "tRNA", at positions 8 to 63 of the family's 71-position model. Rfam says of the family: Transfer RNA (tRNA) molecules are approximately 80 nucleotides in length. Their secondary structure includes four short double-helical elements and three loops (D, anti-codon, and T loops). Further hydrogen bonds mediate the characteristic L-shaped molecular structure. tRNAs have two regions of fundamental functional importance: the anti-codon, which is responsible for specific mRNA codon recognition, and the 3' end, to which the tRNAs corresponding amino acid is attached (by aminoacyl-tRNA synthetases). tRNAs cope with the degeneracy of the genetic code in two manners: having more than one tRNA (with a specific anti-codon) for a particular amino acid; and 'wobble' base-pairing, i.e. permitting non-standard base-pairing at the 3rd anti-codon position. Lineage: Eukaryota; Metazoa; Chordata; Mammalia; Rodentia; Cricetidae. The record is from Rfam by way of RNAcentral.
UGGCUCAGCGGGUAAGAGCACUGGUUACACUUCCAGAGGACCUGGGUUCAAUUCCCAG